CAGCGAUUGUCGGCCUAGUCGCUUAUUAUAGUAUAAAAGUCUAGUGACUAGACCGAACACUCGUGCU
RNAcentral lists this microRNA precursor (67 nucleotides) under Bactrocera dorsalis (oriental fruit fly). RNAcentral describes it as "microRNA bdo-mir-286 precursor". Its record names the gene bdo-mir-286. It matches the Rfam family "mir-286 microRNA precursor family", at positions 14 to 87 of the family's 101-position model. Lineage: Eukaryota; Metazoa; Arthropoda; Insecta; Diptera; Tephritidae. The record is from miRBase by way of RNAcentral.